ACACCUUUAGCUCAGUUGGCAGAGCAGUGGACUCCAAAUCCAUGUGCGAGGGUUCGAAUCCUUCAGGGUGUG
This 72-nucleotide transfer RNA is filed under the name Echinicola strongylocentroti. Its description in RNAcentral is "tRNA-Trp". It matches the Rfam family "tRNA". Rfam says of the family: Transfer RNA (tRNA) molecules are approximately 80 nucleotides in length. The record is from RNAcentral. Lineage: Bacteria; Pseudomonadati; Bacteroidota; Cytophagia; Cytophagales; Cyclobacteriaceae.